UACGUAGGGGGCAAGCGUUAUCCGGAUUCACUGGGUUUAAAGGGUGCGUAGGUGGGUCUGUAAGUCAGUGGUGAAAUCUCCGAGCUUAACUCGGAAACUGCCAUUGAUACUAUAGGUCUUGAAUUAUCUGGAGGUGAGCGGAAUAUGUCAUGUAGCGGUGAAAUGCUUAGAUAUGACAUAGAACACCAAUUGCGAAGGCAGCUCACUACGGAUAUAUUGACACUGAGGCACGAAAGCGUGGGGAUCAAACAGG
Molecule: ribosomal RNA, 253 nt
Filed under: uncultured bacterium
Lineage: Bacteria
Description: partial 16S ribosomal RNA
Rfam family: Bacterial small subunit ribosomal RNA
Source: RNAcentral